Molecule: transfer RNA, 72 nt
Filed under: Spirochaetales bacterium
Lineage: Bacteria; Pseudomonadati; Spirochaetota; Spirochaetia; Spirochaetales
Also listed under: 1 other name
Description: tRNA-Gln
Rfam family: tRNA
About the family: Transfer RNA (tRNA) molecules are approximately 80 nucleotides in length. Their secondary structure includes four short double-helical elements and three loops (D, anti-codon, and T loops).
Source: RNAcentral
UGGGACGUUGGCAAGUGGUAAGCCACCGGUUUUUGGUAUCGGCAUGCGCAGGUUCGAAUCCUGCCGUCCCAG